RNAcentral lists this ribosomal RNA (264 nucleotides) under uncultured bacterium. Its description in RNAcentral is "partial 16S ribosomal RNA". It matches the Rfam family "Bacterial small subunit ribosomal RNA", at positions 793 to 1055 of the family's 1533-position model. The record is from RNAcentral.
GUCCACGCCCUAAACGAUGUCGACUGGUUGUUGGGGGUUUGACACUCUCAGUAACGAAGCUAACGCGUGAAGUCGACCGCCUGGGGAGUACGGCCGCAAGGUUAAAACUCAAAGGAAUUGACGGGGACCCGCACAAGCGGUGGAUUAUGUGGAUUAAUUCGAUGCAACGCGAAAACCUUACCUACCCUUGACAUGUCCGAGAGGCUGGAGAGAUCCAGCUGUGCCCGAAAGGGAAUCGGAACACAGGUGCUGCAUGGCUGUCGU